This is a non-coding RNA of Cyanistes caeruleus (blue tit), 1217 nucleotides long. Lineage: Eukaryota; Metazoa; Chordata; Aves; Passeriformes; Paridae. The record is from RefSeq and is a predicted model, not a curated record.
CGGGCCCGCCGCGCCCGCCGGCCCCGCUCGCUCCUCAGCAAACUUUUUUUUUUCCCCUUUCUCCGUGUUUCGUUGCCCUCGGAGUGACGCGGGCGGGCGCUGAUUGGCGGAGCCCAGGAAGGGAGGCCGCGGGGAGCGGGAGGCGGCGCUUCGGCCCGCGAGUAAUUAUUACACGGCGACGGCGGCGACGUGAACCACCGAAUGCUAUUUAAAGGGACAGCGGCCCGCCCGCAGGGGUGACCUGAGGCGAACGCGGCGGCGGGAGGGCGAGUGGGCAGCGCCUGCUGGGGCGGUGGCGUCCGCCCUCCUGGCCCACAAAUAAAUUCAUUUUGCUGUAAAAUACCCGCGGAUGCACCUGCUGUCGCCCCCGCUGCCCUUCAGAGAAGGGGAAGGUCUCUCCUAGCGGGGUUUCCUGCGGGGCUUAGGGCGCUGUGUGGGCUCAGUCCCUCACAGCUCCCCCUCCUUCUGGGCCCUGUGGGAAGGCAGCGGUGGGCUUGGAGUAUCUGCUCGUGUGGAAAUUCAAAAGAAACUCCAAUUAGGCAGGGGAUCCCAGUCCAAGCUGAAACACCCAGGAGAGAGGUGAAAGGUUUCCCAGCUGUGCCAGUGAUUUGAUGAUGUAUGGCAAAAUGGUACUUUGACCCUGUUCUAAGCCUUAUCCUAACAGGAUGAACUGGAGUUUCAACUACCCAGGCCUACUGGAAAUUUGGCCCAGCAGUUAUUUGGCAGUGGCCUUCAUGAGCAGCAAUGCCAGCUUUCCAUGCAAUGCCCACAUUCAGAGAUUUGCAGAAUUAGAGUCCAAAUUCUGCAAGUCCAGAAUGCCACUGACUUCAAGGGGGUUGUAAGAUUUUAGCCAAGAGCAAAAAUUGGCCCAGGAUUUUUUCAGACUCCCUCAUGCUUCUGUUUAUAUGAUAUUACCAUCAAGCUCUAUUAGCAUGCUCCAUGAUGCAUUUUGCUUUUAAAUUACAUAAAGGAUAUUUACUGUGCUGAUGCUACAUAGUUUGGAAGAAAGAAGCACAUAUGGAAAUGAAAAAACAUCAAUUACCAUCAGGAUUUCCAGCUUUCAGCAUUCAUUUUCCAAAACAACCCAGAGACUAUUUCUCAUUUAAAAAAAAAAAAAAAAAUGAAGCAGAAAUGAAAAUCCAAUUUCUUGGCAUUUAUGUACGGCAUUCUGGACCCUUGCUCAUCAAGUCUGUUGUGAAAAUGAUUGGAAUAAAAAA